This 725-nucleotide ribosomal RNA is filed under the name uncultured Staphylococcus sp. RNAcentral describes it as "bacterial SSU rRNA". It matches the Rfam family "Bacterial small subunit ribosomal RNA", at positions 46 to 753 of the family's 1533-position model. Lineage: Bacteria; Bacillati; Bacillota; Bacilli; Caryophanales; Staphylococcaceae. The record is from RNAcentral.
GCCUAAUACAUGCAAGUCGAGCGAACGGACGAGAAGCUUGCUUCUCUGAUGUUAGCGGCGGACGGGUGAGUAACACGUGGAUAACCUACCUAUAAGACUGGGAUAACUUCGGGAAACCGGAGCUAAUACCGGAUAAUAUUUUGAACCGCAUGGUUCAAAAGUGAAAGACGGUCUUGCUGUCACUUAUAGAUGGAUCCGCGCUGCAUUAGCUAGUUGGUAAGGUAACGGCUUACCAAGGCAACGAUGCAUAGCCGACCUGAGAGGGUGAUCGGCCACACUGGAACUGAGACACGGUCCAGACUCCUACGGGAGGCAGCAGUAGGGAAUCUUCCGCAAUGGGCGAAAGCCUGACGGAGCAACGCCGCGUGAGUGAUGAAGGUCUUCGGAUCGUAAAACUCUGUUAUUAGGGAAGAACAUAUGUGUAAGCAACUGUGCACAUCUUGACGGUACCUAAUCAGAAAGCCACGGCUAACUACGUGCCAGCAGCCGCGGUAAUACGUAGGUGGCAAGCGUUAUCCGGAAUUAUUGGGCGUAAAGCGCGCGUAGGCGGUUUUUUAAGUCUGAUGUGAAAGCCCACGGCUCAACCGUGGAGGGUCAUUGGAAACUGGAAAACUUGAGUGCAGAAGAGGAAAGUGGAAUUCCAUGUGUAGCGGUGAAAUGCGCAGAGAUAUGGAGGAACACCAGUGGCGAAGGCGACUUUCUGGUCUGUAACUGACGCUGAUGUG